Molecule: ribosomal RNA, 198 nt
Filed under: Candidatus Dadabacteria bacterium
Lineage: Bacteria; Pseudomonadati; Thermodesulfobacteriota; Candidatus Dadabacteria
Description: partial 16S ribosomal RNA
Rfam family: Bacterial small subunit ribosomal RNA
Source: RNAcentral
GCAACCCUUAUCCCUAGUUGCCAGCAUUCAGGUGGGCACUCUAGAGAGACUGCCGGCGACAAGCCGGAGGAAGGUGGGGACGACGUCAAGUCAUCAUGGCCCUUAUGUCCUGGGCUACACACAUGCUACAAUGGCGGACACAACGGGUUGCGAACCCGCGAGGGGGAGCUAAUCCUAUCAAAGUCCGUCUCAGUUCGG